GAAGCCUUUCCCGAGAAAAGACAGCCGUCCGCAAGGAAAAGGGCGGCCAUAGAAGAUGGCGUUGAUGGGAUGGAGGUGUAAGCACCAAGCUUCGGCGAGGUGUUCAGCCUGCCAUUCCCAAUAGCCCAAUGCACUAAAUCA
RNAcentral lists this ribosomal RNA (141 nucleotides) under Thermoproteota archaeon. Its description in RNAcentral is "partial 23S ribosomal RNA". It matches the Rfam family "Archaeal large subunit ribosomal RNA", at positions 2856 to 2987 of the family's 2987-position model. The record is from RNAcentral. Lineage: Archaea; Thermoproteati; Thermoproteota.